This 2556-nucleotide small RNA is filed under the name Pongo abelii (Sumatran orangutan). RNAcentral describes it as "retained intron". Lineage: Eukaryota; Metazoa; Chordata; Mammalia; Primates; Hominidae. The record is from RNAcentral.
UUCCAUGGAACUGCCUGUGAGAUGUGUGAGCUGGGCCGCUACGGGCCCAACUGCACCGGAGGUGAGGACUGGGGAGGGGCGAGGGUGGGCUUCCUGGCAGCAGAGAGCAGCCUGGAGACCCCAGCCAGGACAGGAUGGAGGCACUGGGCAACUCCUGUCCUCCUUUAUACCACUGCAGUGUGUGACUGUGCCCAUGGGCUGUGCCAGGAGGGGCUGCAAGGGGACGGAAGCUGUGUCUGUAACGUGGGCUGGCAGGGCCUCCGCUGUGACCAGAAAAUCACCAGCCCUCAGUGCCCUAGGAAGUGCGACCCCAAUGCCAAGACUCGGCCGGAGCCUCCACCUGCGCCUGUGCUGCGGGAUACUCCGGCAAUGGCAUCUUCUGUUCAGGUCCAGCCACAUGGAUGCCCAGGGCCCUCCCUGAAAUUUUGGGGUGGCUGUCCCCACAGAACCCCCUUCACUUCCUCUAGGCCCAGCCCCACUCACUGUCCCAUCUCAGGACUCACCCUUCCCUCUGACCUUUUCCUUUCUCUCACACCCUCCUCUCCUGUCCUGCCCCUGGGCCCGUGCCUGCUCCUAAGGACUCUCUGGGACCAUCUCUCCUUAGAGGUGGACCCCUGUGCCCAUGGCCAUGGGGGCUGCUCCCCUCAUGCCAACUGUACCAAGGUGGCACCUGGACAGCGGACAUGCACUUGCCAGGAUGGCUACAUGGGCGACGGGGAGCUGUGCCAGGAAAUUAACAGCUGUCUCAUCCACCACGGGGGCUGCCACAUUCACGCCGAGUGCAUCCCCACUGGCCCCCAGCAGGUCUCCUGCAGCUGCCGUGAGGGUUACAGCGGGGAUGGCAUCCGGACCUGCGAGCUCCUGGACCCCUGCUCUAAGAACAAUGGAGGCUGCAGCCCAUAUGCCACCUGCAAAAGCACAGGGGAUGGCCAGAGGACAUGUACCUGCGACACAGCCCACACCGUGGGGGACGGCCUCACCUGCCGUGCCCGAGUCGGCCUGGUAAUGAUGCCCAAGUCAGACCCCUGAUCUGGUCUUGGCUGUGCCCCAUGGGCCUGACCCAUGGUCUUGGCAAAGAUCCGAUUUGAUCCUGAUCCUGGCCCUGACCAUGACACUGAGCCUGACCCCUGACUGUACCUGGGCCUGACCCCAGCUAUGACCCAUGAAACUAGCCCUGACCCCAACUCAGACCCCGCGGCUUUCCUUUCCUCAUGUCUGCCUUGGCUAGACCUUGGGCCACAGGUGCUGGGACAGGCACCAGGCCCUGAAUGGGGGCCGCCCCAAAUCUGAGCUGACCCUCGCCCCCCCCAGGAGCUCCUGAGGGAUAAGCAUGCCUCAUUCUUCAGCCUCCGCCUCCUGGUGAGUGGCCAGCUUGGGCCUCUGUGACCUGCAAGUCCCACCCGUCUCUGGGCUUCUGUUCCCAUCUGGUCAGGGGGUUGGCUGGUUUGUUCUCUCUGAGUCCAGGUCUUCCCCAGGAGAUCCAUGGACGCCUCAGGCUUCUCCCCUUCCCCUCAUGCUGUUGCUGCCUCCCGCAGGAGUACAAGGAGCUCAAGGGCGAUGGGCCUUUCACCAUCUUCGUGCCGCACGCAGAUCUAAUGAGCAACCUGUCGCAGGAUGAGCUGGCCCGGAUUCGCGCGCAUCGCCAGCUGGUGUUUCGCUACCACGUGGUUGGCUGUCAGCGGCUGAGGAGUGAGGACCUGCUGGAGCAAGGGUACGCCACGGCCCUCUCAGGGCACCCACUGCGCUUCAGUGAGAGAGAGGGCAGCAUAUACCUCAAUGACUUCGCGCGCGUGGUGAGCAGCGACCAUGAGGCCGUGAACGGUAUCCUGCACUUCAUUGAUCGUGUCCUGCUGCCCCCCGAGGCGCUGCACUGGGAGCCUGAUGAUGCUCCCAUCCCGAGGAGAAAUGUCACCGCCGCCGCCCAGGGCUUUGGUUACAAGAUCUUCAGCGGCCUCCUGAAGGUACUGCUCCCAUGUGGGCCUGUCAUUGUGGACACAUGUGCACAUGUGUGUGCAAGUGUCUAUGCAUACCUGUGUGUGCAUACCCACCUGUGUGCACACUGUCCUGUGUGAGCCUGUGUGAACUCAUGUGUGCACAAGCCACAUCUGUGUGCAUGAGCACCCCAGGUUGAGCACAUAGGUGUGCUUAUGUGUGCCCACAUUCCUGACAGCAGUGUGCACAGUUGAGAUGUGUGCACACACAUGCCUGCCUGGGAUGGUCACAGAUGAGUGUGGGUGAGUGUGGAGCCCCUUCCUGCUCUAUGGCACAGCCCCCUGCCUUUGCUCACUAGUCUCUGACUGGGCUGCGACUGCCACAUCUUUGCUGCACCCCACCAGGUGGCCGGCCUCCUGCCCCUGCUUCGAGAGGCAUCCCAUAGGCCCUUCACAAUGGUGUGGCCCACAGACGCCGCCUUUCGAGCCCUGCCUCCGGAUCGCCAGGCCUGGCUGUACCAUGAGGACCACCGUGACAAGCUAGCAGCCGUUCUGCGGGGCCACAUGAUUCGCAAUGUCGAGGCCUUGGCAUCUGACCUGCCCAACCUGGGCCCACUUCGAACCA